GACAGGACCAUGUGGACGGGCCGUCUGCCCUGACCGCAGCCGCCGUUGAUGUCCACGAGGCCGGAUUCCAGGAGCAGCUUUACGCACGUCAACUGACCGUGGAGACAGGCCACGUGGAGCGCAGACACACCCUGGAGACCGGGAGAGAAGCGUCAGAAACAUAAGAUAAUAAAAAACAACCGCAAUUAGAGCUGCCACCGCGUGUUUCAGGCUGAGGGUCAGCCAUUCGGGGUCCCCAGCCGCCGCCGCUUUGAACUGGUCGUCUUUCGGAAGAGCUCUGAUGAGACUCGUCAAGGGCUCCACGGGUCCGACGGCCGUGAGAGACCCUGAAAAGGGCGAGGAAAAACACAGGCCUGGAAAAAAAAUGCCAAGUAGCGGAGGAAAUAAAAGGACAAAAACACACAACAGCCCCUGCAACAGUGAAUCCAAUCAUAACAAGAAGGAGCCGUUGAUGGCGGACAAUCGACGGAUAAACGCGGCAUCUGUCACACAAAAAGAAUCCUCCUACUUUGGACAAAUAGUCUAAGCUGAAUGGUGGUGUGUAGUGAAAGAAUAUUCUCUUUUUGUAUGUGUUUUGUAUGAAUAAGAAAAGCAGCAUUUUAACAAUGCCGAAGGCAAAGAGGUCAAAUUGUUUUUUAUAUGAUUAGAAACAUCAGCGCUGGUGCAAUAGGCCUACUUGAGUUGAGCGGCGAUUUUCCUCAAUGGGAACCAAAACAUACUUUUGAGAUUUUCUGGAAAGAAGUUCUCCAAAUUGCCCUCCGCCCACUUUCCGAAAUGUGACUAAUCAUAAGCUAACUCGGGGGCUAACGGCAAGGCUGUUGGACUGCUAAUUAUGGGAUGUCAGGAAUAAGCCUGCAGUAAUAAAAA
Gadus morhua (Atlantic cod) is the source of this 867-nucleotide long non-coding RNA. RefSeq lists it as uncharacterized. The transcript is spliced from 3 exons. Lineage: Eukaryota; Metazoa; Chordata; Actinopteri; Gadiformes; Gadidae. The record is from RefSeq and is a predicted model, not a curated record.